RNAcentral lists this ribosomal RNA (295 nucleotides) under Trichinella pseudospiralis. RNAcentral's name for it is "partial large subunit ribosomal RNA". Lineage: Eukaryota; Metazoa; Nematoda; Enoplea; Trichinellida; Trichinellidae. The record is from RNAcentral.
GUUCCAUGUGAACAGCAGUUGGACAUGGGUCAGUCGAUCCUAAGAAAACGGCGAAAGCUUGUUCGAAUUUACGACAUAAAAAAUGUAAAACUGUGUGUGUGUAGUGUGCUUGUGUGUGUACUAUACUGAUAUAGCAGUAGUGGUGGUGGUGGUUUGUCAGUCAGCAGUAGUGUUUGUCUGUGGCAGUGCUGCUGCUGCUGCUGCUGCUGCUGCUGCUAUUGUUUACUUGCUGUUGUUGUGUGUUGUUGUACACACACACCCACACAAUUCUGUGUGCAGUUGUCGUAUGUUUUCG